RNAcentral lists this ribosomal RNA (253 nucleotides) under uncultured bacterium. RNAcentral describes it as "partial 16S ribosomal RNA". It matches the Rfam family "Bacterial small subunit ribosomal RNA", at positions 524 to 776 of the family's 1533-position model. The record is from RNAcentral.
UACGGAGGGUGCGAGCGUUGUCCGGAAUCAUUGGGCGUAAAGGGCGCGUAGGUGGCGGGACAAGCGUGCGGUGAAAGCCUGGGGCUCAACCCCGGGUCGGCCGUGCGAACUGUUUUGCUUGAGCACUGUAGAGGCAGGCGGAAUUCCGGGUGUAGCGGUGGAAUGCGUAGAGAUCCGGAAGAACACCGGUGGCGAAGGCGGCCUGCUGGGCAGUAGCUGACACUGAGGCGCGAAGGCGUGGGGAGCGAACGGG